UAGAGAUUUGUCUCAGGUAUCAUA
Molecule: non-coding RNA, 24 nt
Filed under: Rattus norvegicus (Norway rat)
Lineage: Eukaryota; Metazoa; Chordata; Mammalia; Rodentia; Muridae
Source: RNAcentral